Molecule: long non-coding RNA, 3100 nt
Filed under: Hordeum vulgare
Lineage: Eukaryota; Viridiplantae; Streptophyta; Magnoliopsida; Poales; Poaceae
Description: long non-coding RNA (HVUL_LNC020213)
Source: RNAcentral
GAGAAGAUAGAAGGGGUGGUUCCACCCCAAUUAGGUUUGCCCUUUGGCCUGCUCCCACCUAUAUAUAUGUAGGGAUAUAACCCGCUUGAGACACACCAAAUCGUAAGGGGGUCUGCUCCACAUAGCUAAGCUCUAAUUCUGAUCUAGUUUGUCUAAAAUUGUAGACUCCAAAUUAGACGAUCUCUAAUCCCGCUGUUUGGUCUAAUAAGAUUAAACUCCUAAUUGGACGGAAAGGCGUCGCUAGGCUUUAUCUCUAAUUUUUUCGGAGCCCUUCUUUCUGGACGUCCGAGUGCUGCCAGAUUACUGCUACGGAACAUGAUAUCUCGGAGGGAUUGUCAGCUUGAACUCUAGAUGAGUGAAUCGUCUCGGAGAAAUUCUCACGAAUGGGAGGUAUAACCUAACUGCAGCAAUUUCCGCACUACGCCAACUUAUUUUGCUUCCACUGCUCUAUUAGUUGGUGAGUUUGAUCAUUACUUGCCAUCUGCAUAGUGUUCCUGCAUGUGAUCGUGUAUCAUUUUUUUCAUAACAUGUGUCUCGUACAGUGACAUUACGAGCAAAUAUAUGAGUACACGCAGGUAUAAUUAGUGCAUAUGAUGAUUUGUAGCAUUACAUGUAUCAUGUAUGUGCGGAGUGAUUAGACAGCUCAUGUUGUAACUCUUUAAUUGUGAAGUUUUUAUCCCGGCGGUAUGUAGGACUUCUGUUACAAAGAUCAGGCUUUGUGAAGUUGUUUUAUGCUGCCCCCGAGUAUGCUGAUCGCGGAUUGAAGUUAUGCUUUGGAUUCUUCAAGUUCGAUCAUAGUUGAUUUUUUUUACGAUGAGGAAAUCUUGUAGAUUUUAAUCUACGCAGGGUCAUGCCUAACAACGAAGUUUAAUAUGGGACUCAAGAUUUUUAAUUAAGUCCCAUGUUUCAUACUCCCAACAUGUUAAAGCAACAACAUGAAGUGGCAUACUUAACGGUUUCAAAGGAAAAAAUUGCCAACAUAUCAGAUAUUUUCUUGGCCGUAAUUAAUUUAAAAAUACUUCAUCCUUUUUGGUUUAUAGGGCUCAUUUUUAAAAUUUCAGAUUUCCAUUAUACUAGGCUCAUUUUGAGUCUAGUUAAGUUAAGGUGCUUUGAGUCUCACACCAUAUUUAAUUCAUAGAGAUAAGGGAAGGCAAAUUAGUGGUCAUGCAUGCAUCUUUUUCUACAUGCAUCAUGCAAGUCCAAUGAAAGGGAGGAUGCUACAUUUAUUGCCUUGAAAAUUAAAUAUGUGAAAAAAAUUUCAUUGGCUAGUUAGAACCAGUGUCAUCCACUCACAAUUCACCUUGGUUGAUGAGAUUUCAGAUUUAAGCCCUAUAAACCGAAAAGGAGGGAGUAUCAGAUAUUUUCUUGCUGGCUAAGGAAAGGAAACAUAUCUGUCACUGCACUAACGACGUAGAGGAAUUUGUAGUGGGUAUAUACCUGGCGGUUGCUCCACUGAACCAAAUUAAUUAGCGAGAAGAGGCAAAGGGUUGGCGAAAGAUCGUCGAAGCUAGCUGACAUAAGCAUCACUAUGGCUAGCUAGUGCACGCCAUUUUACAUAUAUGGAUCGUUCUAGUGAGAAAGCUCGAGACAUGACAGGUUUUGAAUUAACAAAAUUGGAAACAACACGGAAAGAUACAAAUGUUCUGAAAAACAGCUCACAAAGCUUCACACACACACACACACACAGUAGCUGGAAAACUAGAUGCACUGAAUGAGUUAGCUGGGCGGUGCUAUGUACAGUUGCGAUCACACACAAGAACUUGUCGGUCAAAAUCAUGACGCGUGGGCUCCGAAGAAGUCACGGCCUGUCGACAAGUUUUGUGGCAAUAGUUUCGGCUACGUCGAUGUAGCUGAGUUUGCUUUCAGCAACUUGCUUCUAUUGAGGAGCGAUCUAGCCGGGUUUUUCCAAACACAGACGCAGACGCUCUACGAGUUGAACCCGCGUGACAUUGAUAGGAAAGAUAGGUGCCCGCAAAAUAAUAUCUACAUUGCUCUCGACCUUUGCUAGCAGUUGAAGCCGUUGAUGUCGAGAGCUCAGAUGUGUACAUGUAUAUAGUACGGUAUUCAUGUACACAAUAUAUAUACACAAAUAGCCGGAGUAGAAAUUAUGCAUAUAGAAAACUCUAAAGAAAGAAAAAAAAAGACCCAUGUGGGUAUGGGUUAUAUAAUCUCGUAUUUGUACCUGCUCUGUCCGAUAGGUUUCAUAUUUUUUUAUUUAUAUAUCAAUGGAUAAAUUUUUGUUUCAUAUCUUUAUUUUAAUAAGGUUUUUAUCUGCAGGAUACGUGUGUAGUGUGUACCCAUUACUAUCCCUAGGUGAGGUUGGAGGAACACUCUGGCUCUAUUUUUCGGAAGGGAAGGUGCAUAGUGCGUGGCAGAAAUUUGGAUUUCAUGUGCGCAUUUAACGUCAAAUUUUUCGCCUCGUCAGUUGUACGAGGAAGGUUAUGGACCACGGAUCACCUCGCUCCACAGUAAUUGUUGUAAGUUGUGCGAUGAACUACCUUAUGGCCGUGACCAUAUGCUGCUGGGAUCAGGGAUGUCCUUUCUAGAGCCUAGAGGGAGGUGUAGUUCUUGCUGUUGCUGCCUCUACGGCCACAUCGAUUCAUGCCUAUGACCCAAAUACAGCUCCAUGAAAGGCGGCUACGGGUGACCACAGUGGUGCCAUGCAAGCGGACGAAAAUAGUAAAUUUGGUCAUCACAGUUGGCCCUUCACUAGUAGAAAAAGGACAUUUUAUCCUAGUUCGUAAGGGCCUUCUGUCCAGGUUUUAGAACCGGGACAAAAAUGUCGUUACUAAUGUCCUUGGUCUUUAGUCCCGGUUCUUACAUGAACCGGGAUAGAUGGGCCUCCACGUGGCCGCUGCGACCAGGCCAGGCAGGGGGCCUUUAGUCCCGGUUGGUGACACCAGCCGGGACUAAAAGGCAUCCACGCGUCAACACCUGGCUGGAGCUGAGGUUUUUUUUUGAAAGGGCCUGGUUUAGGGGUUAAUUUAGGUUGUUAUUAGCUAGCUAAUAGAGAAAAGUGUCCUCUCUUAUAUGUCUCUGUGCUUGGUUUACCAACGCUACUGCUAUGCCUAACGUUAACACGGCCUAGAUUGAAGUGAAG